AGGACACAGCCCUGCAGAAAGUGAAGCGUGGCCAGAGCUGCCUGGAGCCCUGCCUGUGCCAGCUCGUCUCCUGCCUUGAGUCCUUUGCGAACCAGGAAGACAGCGCUUCCAGCAACCGGUUUGUGCUCCCCAACUCUGUCACACCCCCUUACUGACAUUUGCACGGGUGACCGCGGCCUACGGGUCGUACCAGGACGCCAACAUUCCCUUUCCUAGGACUUCUGGGGCCAGGUUCUGUAGAGCAGGUUACCUGGUGUAUUUCACAAGGCCCAUGACGAUGCAUCGGGCGGUGCCUCCCACAGAGCCUACUCCGAGGUGAG
This 320-nucleotide long non-coding RNA is filed under the name Homo sapiens (human). Its description in RNAcentral is "non-protein coding lnc-ZNRF1-3:1". Lineage: Eukaryota; Metazoa; Chordata; Mammalia; Primates; Hominidae. The record is from RNAcentral.